This 74-nucleotide transfer RNA is filed under the name Podarcis lilfordi (Lilford's wall lizard). It matches the Rfam family "tRNA". From Rfam's summary of the family: Transfer RNA (tRNA) molecules are approximately 80 nucleotides in length. The record is from Rfam by way of RNAcentral. Lineage: Eukaryota; Metazoa; Chordata; Lepidosauria; Squamata; Lacertidae.
GUCUAUAUAGCUCAGUUGGUUAGAGCAUGGUGCUGAUAAUGCCAAGGUUGCAGGUUUGAUACCCGUGUGGGACA